AUUGAACGCUGGCGGCAGGCUUAACACAUGCAAGUCGAGCGGGGGAAGGUAGCUUGCUACCGGACCUAGCGGCGGACGGGUGAGUAAUGCUUAGGAAUCUGCCUAUUAGUGGGGGACAACAUCUCGAAAGGGAUGCUAAUACCGCAUACGUCCUACGGGAGAAAGCAGGGGAUCUUCGGACCUUGCGCUAAUAGAUGAGCCUAAGUCGGAUUAGCUAGUUGGUGGGGUAAAGGCCUACCAAGGCGACGAUCUGUAGCGGGUCUGAGAGGAUGAUCCGCCACACUGGGACUGAGACACGGCCCAGAAUCCUACGGGAGGCAGCAGUGGGGAAUAUUGGACAAUGGGGGGAACCCUGAUCCAGCCAUGCCGCGUGUGUGAAGAAGGCCUUAUGGUUGUAAAGCACUUUAAGCGAGGAGGAGGCUGCUCUAGUUAAUACCUAGGGAUAGUGGACGUUACUCGCAGAAUAAGCACCGGCUAACUCUGUGCCAGCAGCCGCCGUAA
RNAcentral lists this ribosomal RNA (501 nucleotides) under uncultured bacterium. Its description in RNAcentral is "partial 16S ribosomal RNA". It matches the Rfam family "Bacterial small subunit ribosomal RNA", at positions 30 to 523 of the family's 1533-position model. The record is from RNAcentral.